This 1649-nucleotide long non-coding RNA is filed under the name Theobroma cacao (cacao). RNAcentral's name for it is "long non-coding RNA (TCAC_LNC001637)". The record is from RNAcentral. Lineage: Eukaryota; Viridiplantae; Streptophyta; Magnoliopsida; Malvales; Malvaceae.
GAAAUUAGAUAAGCUUUAACUAUAAAGAUCUCAUCUUUUCUAGAAGCGUCUACAUUUCUCUGGCAACUUCUUCUUCUUCUUUCUCCCAUCUCACGUUUCUCUCCUCUUCCAUGAAAGCUUCUCUCAAGCUUCCAUCACUCUCUCAAACUAACCUUAAUUUUCAUGCUUUACACACCCUGUUGUAGGGUUUUUCAUACUCUUUUACUCCUUCACCUUAAACAAACCCUUAAAAGUCUUUCUUCAAUACUUUCUCUCACCAGCUGAACUUUGUAGAGAGAGAAAGAGAGGUUUCAUGUUAGCUUGAGGACUCUUGGGAAGAAAUUUCAUUACAAUCCACCAAGGUGAGUGAUGAAUUAAGACUGGUUUUAAGUUGUUGAUGAUGGCUAGUAAUUAGAGUUAUGAGUUGUGUUAUUUGCUGAAAUUGUUUAUCUAUUUCUAGUGUUACUAAAGUAGAGAAACGAAAUAGCCAAUCAAAUGGUAAUUGGAAGAUAGAUAGGAAGGGCUAUUGAAGCUUGAUUUGGGAAACAGCUUUUGGAGUGAUAUUAAUGUAAAUUGGAUUGGCUGUGAUGUUUUUGUGCGUGAUAGGUUCCAACAAGGCCCCUCAGCCCCAUUUGGACCAUUAGGGAAGUUAGAGUCGAUUAAAGGUUCAACAAAUACUGGUGAGUGAACUUGCAUUAAAAGGUUUUGGGAUAUACACAUAUAUGUUUGAUUGAAUCCCCUAAAACGUUUUACUUGGUUCUUUCUUCAAAACUUGCACGGGAACAAGCCCUUAUGAAAUGUUUUUAUGUUAUGAAAUGGAUUGUGUGAUGAAUUCAUAUGUUUCUGUAUAAUGUUGAUAUAUAUAUACAUAUACUAUGUCAUAAAUGGUACCAUUAUGUGACAAAUGCAACCGUGCAUGUGCGGGGUGAGUGUGCACUUGCUAGUGAUGACGGUGGUGAGGGAGAUGGAUGGUGAUACUGCCCGUGUGCACGAUGUGGGGGGAUGCACACGAUUGCAUUAAUUGUGCACGAUGUGGAGGGAUGCACACGAUGACUCUGGCUAUGUGCACGAUGUGGAGGGAUGCACAUGAGCUGGAUGAGAUAGGAUGUCCGGCUAUGUGCACGAUGUGGGGGGAUGCACAUAAGCUGGGUGAGAUGGGGUGGUAUACGAAUUAGUAUAUGCUUAAAUAUAUGUAUAUGUAAUAAAAAGAUCAUGAUUAUAAUAUGUGAUUGUAUGGUAUGAUGAAUCUUGAAAAUUUCCCAUUGACUUGCAAAUUGAUUUUAUUGCGGUGAGAAACAUGUUGUUUAUACUGCCUUGCUUGGAUGAUUGUUGAAAAUUUCCUCUCUUUCCAAUUUCAUGCCGAACAUGGUUCUUUCAUCAUUAAAUGAUUUUACAACCAAGGGUUAAAUGGAGGGAUUUUAAUAAGAACUUGAACUAAGUUGCAUUGUGUCCAAAUAAGUGCAUCAUGAUUAUCAACUUUCCUUAUCAUUGCUUGUUCCCUUCUUAUGUUCACUCACUGAGUUUGUACUCACUGUUUUCAACUUCAUGUUUUCAGAUCAGGAGGCAGUUGGAACCUAGGUUGAGGUAUCCUUAUAGUUUUGUCGUUUUGGUAGGUAUCUUGGCAUUCAAUAGCCAUAACUUCACCUUUGUCACUCCGCUGGAAGCUUAGA